UGGGGAAUUUUGGACAAUGGGGGAAACCCUGAUCCAGCCAUCCCGCGUGUGCGAUGAAGGCCUUCGGGUUGUAAAGCACUUUUGGCAGGAAAGAAACGUCAUGGGUUAAUACCCCGUGAAACUGACGGUACCUGCAGAAUAAGCACCGGCUAACUACGUGCCAGCAGCCGCGGUAAUACGUAGGGUGCAAGCGUUAAUCGGAAUUACUGGGCGUAAAGCGUGCGCAGGCGGUUCGGAAAGAAAGAUGUGAAAUUCCAGAGCUCAACUUUGGAACUGCAUUUUUAACUACCGGGCUAGAGUGUGUCAGAGGGAGGUGGAAUUCCGCGUGUGCAGUGAAAUGCGUAGAUAUGCGGAGGAACACCGAUGGCGAAGGCAGCCUCCUGGGAUAACACUGACGCUCAUGCACGAAAGCGUGGGGAGCAAACAGG
RNAcentral lists this ribosomal RNA (428 nucleotides) under Acidobacteriota bacterium. RNAcentral describes it as "Acidobacteria bacterium partial 16S ribosomal RNA". It matches the Rfam family "Bacterial small subunit ribosomal RNA", at positions 355 to 776 of the family's 1533-position model. The record is from RNAcentral. Lineage: Bacteria; Pseudomonadati; Acidobacteriota.